RNAcentral lists this ribosomal RNA (492 nucleotides) under uncultured bacterium. Its description in RNAcentral is "partial 16S ribosomal RNA". It matches the Rfam family "Bacterial small subunit ribosomal RNA", at positions 29 to 507 of the family's 1533-position model. The record is from RNAcentral.
AGUGAACGCUGGCGGUAGGCCUAACACAUGCAAGUCGAACGGCAGCACAGUAAGAGCUUGCUCUUACGGGUGGCGAGUGGCGGACGGGUGAGGAAUACAUCGGAAUCUACUUUUUCGUGGGGGAUAACGUAGGGAAACUUACGCUAAUACCGCAUACGACCUACGGGUGAAAGCAGGGGAUCUUCGGACCUUGCGCGAUUGAAUGAGCCGAUGUCGGAUUAGCUAGUUGGCGGGGUAAAGGCCCACCAAGGCGACGAUCCGUAGCUGGUCUGAGAGGAUGAUAGGCCACACUGGAACUGAGACACGGUCCAGACUCCUACGGGAGGCAGCAGUGGGGAAUAUUGGACAAUGGGCGCAAACCUGAUCCAGCCAUACCGCGUGGGUGAAGAAGGCCUUCGGGUUGUAAAGCCCUUUUGUUGGGAAAGAAAAGCAGCAGGUUAAUACCCCGCUGUUCUGACGGUACCCAAAAAAUAAGCACCGGCUAACUUCGUG